This 436-nucleotide ribosomal RNA is filed under the name uncultured bacterium. RNAcentral describes it as "bacterial SSU rRNA". It matches the Rfam family "Bacterial small subunit ribosomal RNA", at positions 355 to 796 of the family's 1533-position model. The record is from RNAcentral.
UGGGGAAUAUUGGACAAUGGGCGAAAGCCUGAUCCAGCAAUGCCGCGUGUGUGAAGAAGGCCUUCGGGUUGUAAAGCACUUUAGUGGGGGAAGAAAGCACGUAAGUGUUUGACGGUACCCCAAGAAUAAGCACCGGCUAACUCUGUGCCAGCAGCCGCGGUAAUACAGAGGGUGCGAGCGUUAAUCGGAAUGACUGGGCGUAAAGGGCGCGUAGGUGGAUAUGUGUGUUGGAUGUGAAAGCCCCGGGCUUAACCUGGGAAUUGCAUACAAAACUGCAUGUCUAGAGUGGAGCAGAGGUGAGUGGAAUUUCCGGAGUAGCGGUGAAAUGCGUAGAUACCGGAAGGAACACCAGUGGCGAAGGCGACUCACUGGGCUCAAACUGACACUGAGGCGCGAAAGCGUGGGGAGCAAACAGGAUUAGAUACCCCCGUAGUCC